RNAcentral lists this small nuclear RNA (123 nucleotides) under Salvator merianae (Argentine black and white tegu). RNAcentral's name for it is "U1 spliceosomal RNA (ENSSMRG00000012718.1)". It matches the Rfam family "U1 spliceosomal RNA". Rfam says of the family: U1 is a small nuclear RNA (snRNA) component of the spliceosome (involved in pre-mRNA splicing). Its 5' end forms complementary base pairs with the 5' splice junction, thus defining the 5' donor site of an intron. The record is from RNAcentral. Lineage: Eukaryota; Metazoa; Chordata; Lepidosauria; Squamata; Teiidae.
UCUCUUACAGUACAGUUAAAAGGAUCAACAACAUUGUGGUCGUACCUACACAGACCACCCAAAUGUGGGAAAGUCGACUGCAUAAUUUGUGGUAGUGGGGGACUGUGUACGUGCUUUCCCCUA